RNAcentral lists this ribosomal RNA (497 nucleotides) under uncultured bacterium. RNAcentral's name for it is "partial 16S ribosomal RNA". It matches the Rfam family "Bacterial small subunit ribosomal RNA", at positions 28 to 507 of the family's 1533-position model. The record is from RNAcentral.
GAUGAACGCUGGCGGCGUGCCUAAUACAUGCAAGUCGAGCGAACAGACGAGGAGCUUGCUCCUCUGACGUUAGCGGCGGACGGGUGAGUAACACGUGGAUAACCUACCUAUAAGACUGGGAUAACUUCGGGAAACCGGAGCUAAUACCGGAUGAUAUAUUGAACCGCAUGGUUCAAUAGUGAAAGACGGUUUUGCUGUCACUUAUAGAUGGAUCCGCGCCGCAUUAGCUAGUUGGUAAGGUAACGGCUUACCAAGGCAACGAUGCGUAGCCGACCUGAGAGGGUGAUCGGCCACACUGGAACUGAGACACGGUCCAGACUCCUACGGGAGGCAGCAGUAGGGAAUCUUCCGCAAUGGGCGAAAGCCUGACGGAGCAACGCCGCGCGAGUGAUGAAGGUCUUCGGAUCGUAAAACUCUGUUAUUAGGGAAGAACAAAUGUGUAAGUAACUAUGCACGUCUUGACGGUACCUAAUCAGAAAGCCACGGCUAACUACGUG